RNAcentral lists this ribosomal RNA (330 nucleotides) under uncultured bacterium. Its description in RNAcentral is "bacterial SSU rRNA". It matches the Rfam family "Bacterial small subunit ribosomal RNA", at positions 568 to 898 of the family's 1533-position model. The record is from RNAcentral.
UGUGUAGGCGGUUGGAUAAGAGUGGUGUGAAAUCUCCCGGCUUAACUGGGAGGGUGCGCUACAGACUGUCUGACUAGAGUAUGGGAUGGGAGAGUGGAAUUCCUGGUGUAGCGGUGAAAUGCGUAGAUAUCAGGAGGAACACCGGUGGUGUAGACGGCUCUCUGGACCAUUACUGACGCUGAGACACGAAAGCGUGGGUAGCAAACAGGAUUAGAUACCCUGGUAGUCCACGCCCUAAACGAUGCAUAUUUGGUGUGGGCCAUUCAUUUGGUCCGUGCCGGAGCUAACGCGUUAAAUAUGCCGCCUGGGGAGUACAGUCGCAAGGCUGAA